Molecule: transfer RNA, 64 nt
Filed under: Lathrobium brunnipes
Lineage: Eukaryota; Metazoa; Arthropoda; Insecta; Coleoptera; Staphylinidae
Description: tRNA-Phe
Source: RNAcentral
AUUUAAAUAGCUUAUUUAGAGCAUGAUAUUGAAGUUAUCAGGGAAAUGGAAUCAUUUUUAAAUA